UACAGAGGUGGCAAGCGUUGUUCGGAAUUACUGGGCGUAAAGGGCGCGUAGGCGGUUCGUUAAGUCCUGUGUGAAAUCCCCCGGCUCAACUGGGGAACUGCACAGGAAACUAGCGGGCUUGAGCUCGGGAGAGGGAAGCGGAAUUCCGGGUGUAGCGGUGAAAUGCGUAGAUAUCCGGAGGAACACCGGUGGCGAAGGCGGCUUCCUGGACCGACACUGACGCUGAGGCGCGAAAGCUAGGGUAGCGAACGGG
Molecule: ribosomal RNA, 253 nt
Filed under: uncultured bacterium
Lineage: Bacteria
Description: partial 16S ribosomal RNA
Rfam family: Bacterial small subunit ribosomal RNA
Source: RNAcentral